GAAAUUGAUCCAACAGAGAUACGGAGUCACAUAGUUGAGGUUGGUAGCUUUAGGACAAUACUUACACGUGGAAAAAAAAAUUUCUUCUAGACUGUGAGAGAAAGUAAUAGCUUGUGAGCUGAUUUGGCUGUUCUUAUGUUAGGGAUGGUGUCAUCAUGGAAGCAUCGAUUUAAAGAGAGAUACUGAUAUUUGGUUGGGCUGUGUUUAUGAAAUGUAAAAUAGAGGUUAGGAUAGAGAGGCGUGAUGAUCUGGAAGUAACAUGUAAAGUCAUAGUGCAUAGUCCCUUUUCACCGGGUGUUUGUGGAAGCUGGCUCAGCCUUAGCC
This 324-nucleotide unclassified non-coding RNA is filed under the name Hevea brasiliensis (rubber tree). The record is from RNAcentral. Lineage: Eukaryota; Viridiplantae; Streptophyta; Magnoliopsida; Malpighiales; Euphorbiaceae.